UGUGAGGGCCAAUCAGCGGUCGAACCUCGUCGAUGUUAGCUCGGCGUGCCGAGGCGAACUUCAGAGGCGAGGUGGACCGACUGGUAUGUGCAACA
This is a non-coding RNA of Apis mellifera (honey bee), 95 nucleotides long. NCBI's taxonomy places the organism in Eukaryota, Metazoa, Arthropoda, Insecta, Hymenoptera, Apidae. The record is from RefSeq and is marked provisional.